RNAcentral lists this small RNA (159 nucleotides) under Drosophila willistoni. Its description in RNAcentral is "GK28102". The record is from RNAcentral. Lineage: Eukaryota; Metazoa; Arthropoda; Insecta; Diptera; Drosophilidae.
UCUAAUUGCAACACUCAUUGUAGAUCUUGCACUGCUUAUUCUUGGAAUUUGGUUCUGGAUUAUUAGCUAUUCAUGGUUCGGCAAACUUGGGGGCUCUACCCCAAUUGAUUAAUCAAAUGAAGGGGUUGCUCUCAUGUGUUAUUACACUGGGGAAUGGUC